GUGACGUCCUUCACCCCUCUGGCUCCUGCAAUUCUUCCCGCUCUUCUUCCGCCUAAUGUUUGACUGUGGGUCUCUGCAUCUGUUUCCAUCAGUCGUCUCUGAGGACAAUUAAGUUAGGCUCCCGUCUGUAGCAAAGAAAUAUUCCACCAUCCUGAACCGCACAACACCAUGCUGUGUGGUAGAACUUAUUUACCAAGGCAGUGCCAACGAACAUUUAGGCUGCUUGGCUCUUCAUGGUGAGAUGCCUGCAAUGAAUUGAGCGCAGUGCCCACCCGUAGUGCGCAUCUGAUGGGCCAAGGAGCCUUUUCAGCAGACCUUCCUGAAUUUCUCUCAGAGAAGCCACAUCAAUUUCUAUACUGGAAACAGCUGCUGUAUGAGAGAGCCCACAUUGUUUUAACUUUUCCCCAGCCUGAUGAGAGACAUGUGGAAAAUGGUAUUGCCCCUGUGAAACUACAUUUAUUUUAAAGUCAUAAUUCUGUGUGUGUGUGUGUGUGCAUGUGUGUGUGGUGUGCAUGUGGUGUAUGUAUAUGUGUGGUAUAUGUGUAUGUGUAUAUAUGUGGUGUGUGUGUGUGUGUGAUGUGUAUGUGUGUGUAGUGUAUGUGUGUGGGGUAUGUGGUUGCUUGUGAUGUAUGUGUGUGUGUUCGUGCGUGCAUGUGUGUGUAUAUAUGGUGUGGUGUGCAUGUGGUGUCUGUGUGUAUGUAUGUGAGUGGUAUAUGUGUAUGUAUGUAUAUGUGUGGUUUGUGUGUGAUAUGUGUAUGUGUGUGUGAUAUAUGUGUGUGUAUGUGUGUGAAUGUAGUUGCUUGUGUAUGUGUGUGUGUGGUAUGUAGGUAUGCAUGUGUGAUAUAUGCGUGUGGUGUGCAUGUGGUACAUGUGCAUCUGUUGUGUUGUGUGGUAUAUGUAUGUGUGCUGUGUUUAUGUGUGACAUGCUUGUGCUGUGGCACACGUCUGGAGUUCAGAGGACAACUUCUGGAGAUUGCAUUUCUCCCUCCACCAUGAAUUCUGACAAUCCCACUCGGCUCAUCAGGCCUUUGGAAUACGUGCUGUUGGGGAACGAAUUUUCCCCUUCCGCCAUGGAUUCUGGCGAUCCAAGCAGGUCACAGGCGUACGGAACACGUGCUUUUACCAGCUGAGCCAUCUCACUGGCGUUUCUUUUCAAAUGUUACUCAUAAAUGGUUUAUUACCUCUACAACUUAAUUAUGCUUUUUAAUUGCAGGAGGGCUUUCUGACUGUCACAUGUAACUCCUUGCAUGAUUAAGCUGUCUCUCCCAGCAGCUGUCCCUUCCUGGUGUCUGAUUCUUAUCCAGAUCUCAUUAAUAUUCCUUGAGAGCAUAAAUGGCACUGGAUGUACCGAUGAGAACCAUGUCUUUGUAGAUGUCUCUUUCGUACCCACAUCUCACCGCUCUAGUGCCCAGCCCAAUGGGAAGCCUGACUGGCGUUAUAUGGCCCCACAGCCUUAAGAGAAACUCACUGUUUGGGGGCUGUUUCAGGUCCUCCCCUCGUCCUACCAGUCCGGCACUUCCUACUCGGGGAGGGGCUAUCCAAAUAUCAUCUGACUAUUAGGACAGGCCUCAGAGGCUCCAUCUUGUUUUGAGCCCUUGAUCCUCCUGGGUCAGCCUCCCAGUUCCUGGAAUUUCACAGUGUGCAAUGACAUCGGGCUAGAGUUGAACCUCUCACAGGGAGUCCAAAGGUGAUCCUGCAAUGGCUCCUCUAGGAUUCCAGUGCAAAAGAGACCUGGGAGCUAGUUUUGUCUUACUCCCCGGGUCGUGUUAGCCAGAGCAGGGAGGAAGACAGAGGCCCUAGCCUCCUACCCAGGGAACUGCAUCUCUGCCAGGCCACAGCAGCUUCGAAAGCCCCAGGAUCAAUGACUGAAUGCUAACCAUAUGCCACCAGCUUUACACAUGGCUCAUUCACUUGGUGUUUGUGACAUCACGAAGCAAGCAUUCUCAUCCAACAGAGGAAGAAAUUAGCCUCGGAGAAAUUAAGCAAAUUUCUCAGAGUCAUACAGUUGCACGUUUUAGAAACAGGGUCCCGGAGGAGACGGCUUGGCAGGUAAAGGUGCUUGCUGCCAAGCGCGAUGACCUGAGUUCAGUUCCCUGGGGUGCACAUGGUGAAACAGAAGAACCGACCCCCACAGGCUGCCCCCUCGAUAAAUAAAUCAGUAAGUAAAAAUAAAUAAAUAAAAAGAAAGGUAGAAGAACCAGACAGGCCUUGUUAUUCUCACCUGCCAUCCCAUCUGCCAUCCCAUCUAUUCCAGAGGCUAAGGCAGGGGGAUUGCUGCAAGUUCUAUCCAGCCGGCUGGGGCUCUGGAGUGAGACCUUUGUUUUCCAAACAACCGAAACAGUGACAGACCAGACUUUAACAGUCUCACGGACUCUGAUUCCCACGUGGUAACGGCGUGCUGAGAAUCACACCUCUGGUGUCCAGGGCAGUCUGAACAGCCUUUUUUAGGGUUGUCAAGAUUGCAAAAGAUACAGUCCAGAAACCCCAACCCAGUCUGCAUCUCUGUCCUGCCUGCCUCUGUUGGGUUAGCAUACAGGGUAAAUAAUAUCUACUUCUGGGCACCAUUAAGACAAUUCCCUAAAGCCUUGUCUUCUGAAGCUUUUAGCUCAUUGCUAAACUAACUUUGGUAAAAAUGGUGGGUGCGGGGUUGGGGAUUUAGCUCAGUGGUAGAGCGCUUGCCUAGCAAGCGCAAGGCCCUGGGUUCAGUCCCCAGCUCCGAAAAAUAGAAAAGAAAAAAAAAUGGUGGGUGCAUGACAGUUAAAGUACCUUAUGUUUGGGGCUGAGGCUACAGUGGAAUCGGUAGAAUGCUCACAUUCUUAUCCCAAGACCGUGGGCUCCAUUCCUAGCAUUGCACAAUACUUAGGCAUGGAGACGCACACCUGGAAUCCCAGCAAUUGGGAGACUGUGGCCAGAGGCUCAGAAACAGAGGAGGCCUUUGAGGUCACGGAGUGGGUAACAAGGUGACUGCAGCCUAACAAUCAAGCCCAAGAUUCCUGGAGUCUCUCUUGGAAGGAGAGAGCUGACUGCACAGAGCUGUCCUCUGACCUCCAGACACAAGCUGAGGCAUUUAUGAAUGCCUCCCACCCGCAACGCACACAAUGCAAAAUAAAUAUAAACAAACGUUUAGGUCAUCUAGCUGUCCUCAGCUACACAUGGAGUUUGAGGCCAGCCUGGGCUACUUGAGAGCCUCUCCUUGAAAAACUAAAUUACAAAACAAGACAAAAAAACAAACAAAAACAACCCCUCCUUAACAUCUUGCAAGCUAUUUUUUUUUUUCUUUCAGUUUUUUUGAGGCAGGGUUUCUCUGUGUAGCCCUGGCUGCCUGAAACUUUCUCUGUAGCUCAGGCUGGCCUCAAACUCAGAGGACAUUUUUUUAAGGCAGGCUAUUGCUAUGCAGCCCUGCCUGGCCUGGAACUGAAACUUGCAACUCUCCUACCUCUGCCUCUGGAGUGUGGGGAGUACAGGCUCACAGCAACAUGCUAGGCCAACUUUUUGUUUUGUUUCCUUAUUUGUUUUCCUGACAGGGUUUCACUUUGAAGUUCUGGCUGAACCUGUACUCACUACAGAGCUCGGAGGCUGGGAGUACAGGUAUGUGCUGCUUCAGAGUAACUCCGCAGAGAGGUGUAUUUAAUUCUCACAGUGCUGCAUGCAGAAAUUCCGUCACAGUGUAUUUAAGGGGCCGAGUAAUCUGUAUAGGAAGAACACGAGGGGCUGGGGAUUUAGCUCAGUGGUAGAGCGCUUACCUAGGAAGCGCAAGGCCCUGGGUUCGGUCCCCAGCUCCGAAAAAAAGAACCAAAAAAAAAAAAAAAAAAAAAAGAACACGAGGCUCAGAAGGAAAACGUACUCCUGUUCAUUUAGGGGGAACAAACAAAACAGAACGUGGCUGUGGAACAUGGGAUACCGCAGGCUCCACUUGUUUCAGACAAAUCCACCAAUGAAAGGAAGGUUGGGCUGGUGGUAGAUUAGUGGUAGCCAUCUCUUGCAGUCUAGAAACCCCAACCAAGGUUGGGUAAGACGGCUCCAAGCCAGAUGACCUGACCUCUCCACGGAGCCCACAUGGUGGAAGGAGAGAGUUCACUCCAAAAGCCUUUCCUUAAUCCACAUGUGUCCAGACACAUGUAUAGGCAAGAUAAUUUAAUGUAAAAAAACAAAAAACAAAAACACUUAAAAAAAAGGGAAACCCAAAUUAGCUUGUUAGACAUAUAUUUGUGGUAAUUUUCACAUAUCUUCUUUAAAUAUAAAAUAUAAUUUAAUAGCUUUUAAAAACUUGCUUUGAGGGGUUGGGGAUUUAGCUCAGUGGUAGAGCGCUUGCCUAGCAAGCACAAGGCCCUGGGUUCGGUCCUCAGCUCCGGAAAAAAAAAAAAAAAAAGAAAAAAGAAAUUUGUAGGUCAUAAAAAGAUCACCCGAGGGGUUGGGAAUUUAGCUCAGUGGUAGAGCGCUUGCCUAGGAAGCGCAAGGCCCUGGGUUCGAUCCCCAGCUCCGAAAAAAAGAACCAAAAAAAAAAAAAAAAAAAUCCCCGAGAACCUCUCUAGUCUUUUUCUCCCUCUAAAUUAAUUACCAGCUCUCAUACACAUAUGCUUACCUCCACCUCUUUCCCAAAUAACUAAUUUGUUCUUUUGUCCCUUUGCUUCCUCCCUGCCUCUCCACUUCUGUCGAUAAUUAUUAACUCAACGCAAGGGGGGGGGGCAAACAGCUCACACGAGGGUUUUCAGCAGGGUUGGUUUUGUUAAAUGUACAGUUAGAGAAACUGACAGAAAAAGAUUGCCAAUAAGUUCAAGUUAAGGUGAGGUAAAAAAAAAAGUCUGCUUGGGAAAGAUUGGAAAUGGACAGCUGACAAGGCUCUGCACAGAUUGUUUCUCCUUUAACCUUUGCCCCAUUACAUACAUGACCAUCAGAUGUCUCACACGCAUGGGAUCACGCAUGACCACAUAUGUGAACACAGUGCUGUGCGGCACUUUCUCUACAGUGUUCAACAAAGUCCCACAGUGUAACUACGUAUCUUACACCCAGUGGUGGCGCUCCCAGACCUCGGGAGGCAGAAACAGGCAGAUCUCUGAGUUUGAGGCCAGCCUAGUGUACAGCGCAAGUUCCAGGACGGCCAGGGGCUACACAGAGAAACCCUGUCUUGAAAAACAAACAAACCAAACAGACCACUGUCUGCAAACCACGUGGUCACAGGUCUUGCCAAUUACAGGCUUAAUUAAGAAAAAUAAUCAGUUGGGGGAGUCGGCUUGCACCUUUAAUCCCAGCACUCGGGAGGCAAAGGCAGGAGGACCUCUGAGUUCCAGGACAGCCAGGGCUACCCUGUCUUGAGAAAGGCUAUGUUAGGAGGGUCCUAAACUGCUCCUGAAGGCAGAAGGACCUUCUUACCAUGUCCUCAGUAACUAGUCACGGCCUCCAGACUCAGGUCUCCUUAGUUUCACUAUUGGCCAUUUCCAGGAAAGGCCUGGCUUCAUUUAUCCUUAUCUGAAAUUUUAGAUGAUUCUCUCCAGAGCUUGCUCAAUCUGAGGAGCCAGUGCAGAUCAUGGAGCCAAGUCUGUCAGGCAGGAGGAUUAAACAGACUCACCGAAAUGUGACUCCUCUCAAGCAAGCCCUCUAAUCUUGCCUUUCUGUGAAAACCUGAGAGGAGGAACACAGGGCAGUGCUUUAACCAAGGGUGGUCCCGUAAGGAGUUGGCAAACCACACGGCAAGCCACGCAAGCCACGCAACUCCCCCAAGAAUGACUUCUUAGGGAUUAAUUACAAAUAUUAACAUGUUAAUUUAAUAUAUUAAUAUCCCGCACCCCUUUUACAGGUAUGUUUCCAGAUCUUGUGGAACAGAUAGUUCUGAGUCACUAUGUAGAAGCUGGAAAUGUCCUCUAGAAGACACCAGUGCUCUUUUUGUUUUUUUAAAGAUUUAUUUAUUACCUAUGAGUACACUAUAGCUGUCUUCAGACACACCAGAAGAGGGCAUCAGAUCCCACUACAGAUGGUUGUGAGCCACCAUGUGGUUGCUGGGAUUUGAACUCAGGACCUCUGGAAGAGCAGUCAGUGCUCUUAACCGCUGAGCCAUCUCUCAUCUCUGAGCUUCUUGUUUUGUUUUUAUAUAACCCAUGAUAGCCUCGAACUUGCUAUGUAGCCAAAAUGACCUUAAGUUCCUCUCGUGUCAAUCUUCCGAGGGCUGAAGUACAGAAGUGAGCCGCACUUAGCAUUAGUAUCAACGGUUUAAUUGUAAUGUGUGUCUCUUAGUGCCGACGGACAAGUCUUUCCGGUAGCAUGGACAAGUCAACUUCACAGGGUCUCAGUUUUGUUUUUUACAUCUUUGCCUAUGUGGUGUGUGUGUGCGUCUGUGUGUCUGUGUAUGUGUGUGUGUGCGACUGCAGGCAUGAAUGCAUGAUAGCAAGUAUGUAGAGGUCAGAGAUCAACCUUAGAUGUCUGUCUCUACUUUCCACAUUAGAGGCAGGGUCCUCUCUCUCUCUCUCUCUCUCUCUCUCUCUCUCUCUCUCUCUGUCUUUCUCUGUCUCUGUCUCUCUGUCUCUCUCUCUGUCUCUGUCUCUCUCUCUCUGUCUUUCUCUGUAUCUGUCUCUCUGUCCCCCCUCCCCCCUCUCUCUCCUGCUUAUGCUUCCAGGGUCUCUUGUCUCUGCCUCCCAUCUUGUCCUAGGAACAUCAAAGGAGAGCUACUGAGUGAGGCUGUUUUGGGUUCUGGAAUCCAAACUCAGCUUCUCCAGCUUGUGUGGGAGGGGCUUUACUCACUGAAUGCCGCUCAAGCUCUUCUUUGUUGUCAUUGUUGUUGGUUUUUUUGUUUGUUUUCUUUUCUUUUCUUUUUUGUUUUUUCCUUUUUUCUUUUUCUUUUAUUCUUUUUUCCCCCCCAAACUCUUCUUUUAAAAGCCAGAUAUUAGAUGACACAAAUAUUCGGAGCAAGAGUUAUGCGAGAGGAAAAAGCAAGAGCACUUCGAAAACCUAACCAGCAGUGAAAGGCAUUCACGAAAUAAAACCUAAAGCCAAUGUUUGGGAAAGCUAGAACCAAAACGCAAGGCCACCCAGUCAUGAAAAACGGAAAAGACCGGAAGUCAUGUUACCUGAGGCAUGGGCUUACUUACACCUGGGCUCCCAGGCCUAGGGAGACUGACUGGAGCAGGAGGACAGCUGUGAGUUCAAGGCCAAUGGGGGGGGGGGUGUGCAAGGGGAAGGAAAGGGGGAGGGGAGGGAGCGAGGCAGGGGAGGGGGGAGGGGGAGAGAGAGGCGGGAGGGGGAAGAAAAAAGUUUUGGUAUAAUGUCAGGUUUAAUUAGUUGUCAGUAAGCAAACCCAAAUCGCGGCCAAUGUCAAAGCAUUUCUACUCGGUCUUAUUCCAAGUAAGAAAGGAUUUCAGCGUUCCUGGGAGGCUCUGGGUAGUUUCUUUCCCUGAGAGGAAGGCAGAAGCCUGCUGGUUCCUGAGGCAUUUACCCGCUGGAUUCCAGAUUUUUAAAGGAUAAUGAGAGAGCAGGGCCAUGGUGGCGCUUGCCUUUAGUCCCAGCAGAGGCAGGCAGAUCUCUGUGAGUUCAAGGCCAGCCUGGUCUACAGAGUGAGUUCCAGGACAGCCAGGGCUACACAGAGAAGUCUCGAAAAACAAACAAACAAACAAACAAACAAACAAACAAACGGGGUUAGAGACUAGUGAGGACCAAAAGCGCCAUGUUCUCUCGAUGGCAACUCAGCGAGCAGAAGCACAGACGCGCAGACGCGCAGGCGCACAUGGUGGCAGCAGACCAGUGUCCUGAUCCUGGGAUCACCUGGGAAAUCUGCACCGAUGGAACCAAAUCCCAGCUGCCACUGUCCCCUUUGUCCUCCAGAAAUCCUCAGAGGGUGCCACCUGAUGUGAACCCACAUGUAGCUCCUCGGGCUGUUGUCCAUUUAAAAGACAGUGCCACACCCCUUUGGGCUGCAAACCCACACAAGACUGGUUAAAACGCGAGGUCUAUCUUCACUGCUUAUUCAUUCGCUCAGCAAAUAUUUACUGAGCUCUCACCACACUGGGCAGGGUCUGCGGCUAAGAACCCACAAUGAAAGGCAAGGUCUCUCUUCUCAGGAAACUUCCAUGCUGCUGGGGAAUCCGGACAAAUGAAGGAUGUGACUGGGGCGGGCGGCCCACUAAGGGUAAUCGGGGUACUGGGGAGAAGGGGACAGAGGCUCCAGCGCUGCUCCAGAAAGCUCAAAUGAAUGACAUUUGAGCGGAAUGCAGAACGAGGGGGAGGAUACAGGCAACCAGCCAGGGGAUAAGAUGAGGAGAAUGUUCUAGGCAAAGGCCCUGAGGCAGGAAUAAAAUUGCUGGAGAGUGAGCUAAGAGCUGACUAAGAGGCAGUGGCGGCCGGGUUCACGGUGAACUUACAAGCAGUCGGGAGAGGACUUUAACUGCUAUAUAACACUACGGAUGCAAGAUAAGAUAUAUUUCAUAUACUGUGAUUGCUCACUGUGCCUUAUAGCUACAACGAAACAGAAAGCCUCCUCCGUAAGAGCCCUUGUAAUCUUUCAAGGAAGCAAUAAUUCCGGCAAGUGGCAAGGCGAGGAAUGAAGCAAAAAUAAAACCACAGACACUGACUCAAAAGCCAAUGCUAGAAUAUGCCUGUUUAGGACUUUUUUUUUUUUUUUUUUUUUAAGUCACGUUUUAUUUGGAUCCUUAAGAAACGGGGGUUCAUCAGGAAUGGGGUGGGGGCAGUUGGAGGCUGUGGGAACCGAAGAGGCACGGAGGCAGGAAGGGAACCGGGCGGGUCCAGGAAACAAUGAAUCACUUGGCGUGGCGGUGCCAGGUGGGCGGGUAGUGUGGAGAGAUAAGGCUGGAGAAACACGCUGGGGGCAUCUUGAAGGACACGUACUGAGAUUUAGACAGUAUCCUUGGGUAUUGGCUCCCUGGAGUGUCUACACAACUCUAGAAGAACCAUUCAACGUCACAUUCCCGCAGAUCCCCCAGAGGUCUAGGUGGGACCCGAGAACCCGCAUUUGACCACGCCAAGGCAGUGUGCACGCAGGCGAUCUGGGAAGCCAUAUUUUGAAAAAUCCACCUUUUGACCUUUUUGUUUGUUCUUGUGGCAACCCUGCUGGACUGAAAGGGGGAAGCCUGAUGUCCCUUAGAGGACUGUUCAAAGGCUCUGGCAAAAAUAAACAGUUAAAUAAAUGAAGACCCGAUGAGACCCACGAUUGCUGCUGGGCUACAUACACACUCAGCGAGUUCAAGGCCCAGUAAGAUCUUGUCUCAGGAAUAUCAGACUAGGGGGCUGGAAAAAUGGAUCAGUGGUUAGGAGCACACACUGUUCUUGCAGAGGACCAGAGUUCAAGUCUCAGCACCCACAUCAGGCAGCGCCAGCCUCAGGGAGCCGAUUCGUCUCAGGCUUCCUUGGGCUCAUACACAGACACACAUACAUUCACAUUAAAUAAAAAACUAGAACCCUAAGACUGGUAGGAUGGCUCAAUGGCUCUGCACGGUGCCUGACAACCCCAGCUGGCUCCCACAGGAGAGAAAGGACACCUCACUUUUGAAAGUCAUCGUCUGGCCAGGCAGUAGUGGUGCACACCUUUAAUCCCAGCACUUGGGAGGAGGACAAUGCUGGAUCUCUGGGUUUGAGGCCAGCCUGGUCUACAGUGUGAAUUCCAGGAUAGCCAGGGCUACACAGAGAAACCCUGUCUUGAAAAACAGAAAAGAAAGUUGACCUCCAUGUGUGCACUGUGGCAUACUUGCACACAUACACAAACAAUUAAAACAGAUUUAAAAAAAUAAAAUUAAGAGGGAAAUAAAAAUGAAUAUUUAUCUUAUGUAUCUUUUUUUUAAGUUUCUUUCUUAUUUUUUGAGAUAAGUUCUUCUUAUAGCCCUGGCUGUCCUUGAACUUACGAUCCUCCUUGUCUCAGUCAAAUGCAGGAGUUCCAGGCGUAAGCAGUCGUGAUCAGAUCAAAGAGUAACACUUUAUAAGUGAGCUUCUACAAAUCACAGAGUAAAAACUAGGAACAGCUUCUGUUUGGCCAGCAGGCAUUGUCCAAUAACUUGACACAGCAACAUCAAUCCUCCUGUCGGGGUGAGACCUGGUUCAUAGCCAUCACACAGGAUAGGCCAUCGGGGCUCUGGGGCUCUUCUAGCUUAUUCCACGAGCUUCCCAAGGGUCAUUCUACGGGAUUACUGCACCGGUUUUUACUUUAACUUCUGCAGUCCUGAGAGUUAAAAGGCUAAAGCAUUUAUCCUAGGGUUCCAUGAAGACUGACUCAAGAGGAAACUGUCUUUACUGCAUCCGACCUUCCCUAGGGAAUCUGGAAUGGGGAGCAGGGUGGGACAGGACUAGAAGUGACUCCAGAACGUCUAGCUAACUGUAGUCUUACAGGUCGGACUUUGGGAUCAAGAGCCCAACCCUUUAUAGAGACUGGUCAAUGAGUGACUUGUCCACAAUCACCUACUGGGCGGGUCCCCAGCUCUGUCCACACCACAGCCCUGAUUCUAACACUUUCCACUUUUUAUUUUUUAAAGAUUUAUUUAUUUAUUCUAUAUAAGUACACACUAGAUGAGGGCAUCAGAUCCCACUACAGAUGGCUGUGAGCCACCAUGUGGUUGCUGGGAUUUGAACUCAGGACCUCUGGAAGAUCAGACAGUGCUCUUACCCACUGAGCCAUCUCUCCAGCCCCCACUUUCCACUUUUUUCAACCCACUCAUUCAUUCUGGUGGGGGAGCCCAUCUUUUCCCCAUGUCCUCCUCAGACUCCAAAUAAAUGAAAGAAGCAAAAACCCUUAGCCCUGAAGACCAAACAAAAAUGAGUAGACUGACCGAAAGGCAAGUCACUGAAAGAGAAAUGGAGAUGAGAGUGUGACAAAUGCUCAGGGACUGGACAUUAAAGACAAGAAAGCCAGGUGAUACAUUCUGUAAUCCCAGCAGCUGGGGCGGGGUGCAUCACUCUAGGCCAGCCGAGCAUACAGUGCGUGACUCAAUUUCAUUAAAAGUGAACAAAUACAAAUGAAGUCAACUGCCUUCAAGUGCCUAUCAAGUUAGCAAAACUUAAAAAGGAAUAUCUGAUCAAUGUUUGCAAAGACGCAAAUGCCAGGUGCUCACACCACUGCAGGUGAGAAAGCCCUGAUGAGUCCCUGUCGUUCCUUCCGUGAUGAAGAGCUGUGUUGUGGCAGUGUAAGCCGAAUAAACCCCUCCCCGGCUUGAUUCUGGUCGUGGUGUUUCAUCGCAGCAAUGGUGAUCUUAACUGAAACAAGGCCUGAGUGGAAUGCACUUUUACCUACUGAGCUGUCCCACCAGCCCCCUUUUACUUAUUAUCUGAGACUUAGUAAGUUGUCCAGGCUAGCCUUGUAUGCACAUUGUAGCUAAGGAUUGCCCUGAACUUGCAAUCCAUCUGCCUCAGUGUCUGGAGGAGUUAGGAACACAAAUCUAUGCCACCAAGGCUUGCUUGGCACAGGGCGUUAAGCAUCCGCUAAGCUGAACCUACUGGCACAUGACUUCAGUCUCAGCACUUGGGAGGUAGAAGCAGGAGAAUCAGGAGUUCAAGGCCAGCCUGGGCUAUAUGAGACCCAGUCUCAACAUUUAAAAACAAUGUUAUUGUUGUUAAUAGUACUGUUACUACUGCUAAGUUGUAGCAAGGAAGACAGUGACAGGGCAUUAGAGAGAAGUCUCAGGAUAGCAUGUCCACACAGACAGGCUUACGUUUCAGAUUUUGAAGAAUAUGGGGGAUUAGGGCCACAGCUGAGUGGUCAAGAGCUUGCAGGGCUCGCUCAAGACCCUAGUCUUGAUCCCCCAGUACAGAAAAAGUUACAGAAGGAGGUUUCACUGAGCUGUGGGGUGCCAAAGCUGAAGCUGAUUCCUACUGUUUCCCUCCUGGAUGGUAUGGAUACUUAACUCUGGGGGAGGGGCUGGGUUUGGAGCCUGAGCCAGCCCUUGCACCCAAACUAUGAAACUGUCCUCUGCUUACACUAAACUUACAGCCUGAGAGAUUUUAUUUACGACACUCAAGCCUGUGAAGAAUACAAGGGGAAGAUUCUUACUAUAGGCAAGAGGUUCACCCCCAUGUUUGGAGAGGUCACUUAAAAAAAAGACUUUGCGUGUUUUCAAAUUCAUUUAUGCCCGUUCUGGAAUAACCUUUCUGGACCGACUGUGUUCUAAACCUAGAAGGUACAGGCCUGAAGCUUAGGCAACCGUUAGGAGGAACCACGGAGCUGAGCCCGCACAGGAGCCUCUUCAUCUUGGGGGAAACAGUGUCACCUGUCCCUCACUGCAGGAUAUAAAAGGGCUGCCAAAUAAGGUCCUUCUGGAGGGGGCUUCUAGACACAGUUUCUCUAUGUUGCCCCCUCUGUUCUGGAACUCACUGAGAUCCACCUGCCUCUGAGUGCUGGGAUUAAAGGUUAUGGGCCACCACCAGUCAGGCAGGCGGCACGAUUUUACCUAUAAAAUGAUGAACAACUCAUACCUUUUAAAAAGUAGCGUGUGCACGUGAGUCAGAUGCUAUGCAGCUGCCAUUACCCAGUGUGGAGGACAGAACAGCCCCCCAAAAUGUUUUUUUUUUAAAGAUUUAUUUAUUUAUUAUAUAUAAGUACACUGUAGCUGUCUUCAGACACACCAGAAGAGGGCAUCGGAUCUCUUUACAGAUGGUUGUGAGCCACCAUGUGGUUGCUGGGAAUUGAACUCAUGACCUCUGGAAGAGCAGUCGGGUGCUCUUAACCGCUGAGCCAUCUCUCCAGCCCCAUAAAAACCAAAAUGUUUUAAAAUGAUGGAAAAUCAUUGCAACAUGCUAGCUGAUGGACUGUUGUUGGGUGAGACCUCCUGCUUCUAGUGAAAAGAAGUCUUCAUUCAAUCACUAAUAAUUUGAGUGUAGAGAGAUGCUCAGUGGUUAAGGACCCUUAAGCUCUUCCUGAGGCCCCAAGAUCCAUUCCCAGUACCCACAUCAGGCAUCCUGAAACAUCCUGUAAAUCUAGAUCCAGGGAGACCUGAUGCUUUUGUCCUCUUUGGGCACCUGUAUUCACAUGCAAUAACUGCUUGUGCGCGCUCUCUCUCUCUCUCUCUCUCUCUCUCUCUCUCUCUCUCUCUCACACACACACACACACACACACACACACACACACACACACACACACACAGAGUUAAAGAUAAACAUAAAUCCUAAAGGUUUUUUGAAUCUCAGAACUUUACCUCCAGCCACAGCAUAGACACAUCAGAAUGAUCCCUUUAAGGUACCAUUUACCAAAGAACCUCAAGCCCAGUAAUAAAGCAGAAACUAUGUAAAGCCACUAAUUUGUUACCAAAAGCUUGAAGAGCCUGUCUGUGUUAAGUGACUUAACCACACCUUGAGGUUCCUGUGCAUGGUCUGCAAUGGAGUGUUCUACCUUCCUAUAGAAAGCACAGUUAGGGGUUGGGGAUUUAGCUCAGUGGUAGAGCGCUUGCCUAGGAAGCGCAAGGCCCUGGGUUCGGUCCCCAGCUCCGAAAAAAAAAAAAAGAAAAAAAAAAAAAAAAAGAAA
This is a non-coding RNA of Rattus norvegicus (Norway rat), 13441 nucleotides long. Lineage: Eukaryota; Metazoa; Chordata; Mammalia; Rodentia; Muridae. The record is from RefSeq and is a predicted model, not a curated record.